RNAcentral lists this unclassified non-coding RNA (290 nucleotides) under Melitaea cinxia (Glanville fritillary). RNAcentral describes it as "misc RNA ENSMCXG00005000207.1". Lineage: Eukaryota; Metazoa; Arthropoda; Insecta; Lepidoptera; Nymphalidae. The record is from RNAcentral.
AUUUCUCUGGAGAUUCUUCUUUUUCGCUUUGUUUACUAAGUGCUGCAGGAUUUGACUCAUUCUUUCAAGUUUCCACGAGGUUUUAUUUGCAUCUUUGUAUACAACAUAAAAGAAACAACUGUGUUGAUGAAAAACUGUUGCAGAGAACACAAGAGAAUACCGUCUUCGGGGGUACUGAAAUUUCAACCUUGAACGCUUAUUCAAGUUGUGUUAAACGAAGAAAAUGCCAUGUAAAAAGCUUGCAACCUUUGUUUGUUUUUCUAAGGGAUAACAAGGUUCCACAACCAUCU